AGCCACAGGAAUAAACUGCAAAAUCCCUAAGAAUCCAAAAGGAUCUGCAGGAUUUCUCAAGCCUGCCUAGAUGUCGUAAGUGAAUCUUUGAACAUCGCUUGGACUCGUUCACAAGUCAGCUCAUUCUCUCAGCGCUACUGGACACCAUUCUCAGGCUGGCAAUUGCCACAGAGGGCAUCUGAGACAUUGUCUCAACUUCAUCUGCACCAGUGGGAGGCCUUUCCCAGGUGGGAGAACACUACUCCACUUUGGAAUUGCCAUUGUCAGUGUUCCUGGCUUUCCCAGAGAGCCACUGCAAGGCCCAGGAUGAAGGGAGGCAGUGAGAUUAAGGACACAAUCAUCUUUCACUGACAUCCAACUCUGGGACCUCAGAAAGCCUUUGUGAGGCCCAGGAUGAAGGGAGGCAAUGAGGUUAAGGGCCCAACUGCCAGAAUAUAUUCCAAUACCCACGGGACUUGAUUACUGCACACAGCCUCUUUCGUGAAUGGUGUCAAAAGGGCCAUUUCCUCAGGCCUGCCUAGACGUUGUACGGGUGAGUCUUUUUGAAUCUUGCCCCACUGUGAUUUCUAGGUACAGAUCAUCUGUGUUCCCCAGGGUUGCUCUCUCCUAGAUGGGGCUUUCUGC
This 624-nucleotide long non-coding RNA is filed under the name Homo sapiens (human). RNAcentral describes it as "long intergenic non-protein coding RNA 279". Lineage: Eukaryota; Metazoa; Chordata; Mammalia; Primates; Hominidae. The record is from RNAcentral.